This is a non-coding RNA of Pangasius djambal, 74 nucleotides long. The record is from the annotation of a GenBank genome assembly. NCBI's taxonomy places the organism in Eukaryota, Metazoa, Chordata, Actinopteri, Siluriformes, Pangasiidae.
GCCCAUCUAGCUCAGUUGGUAAAGCAUGGGAUCCUUGAUCUCAGGAUUGUGGGUCUGAGCCCCCAUGCUGGGUG